This 646-nucleotide ribosomal RNA is filed under the name Staphylococcus xylosus. RNAcentral's name for it is "bacterial SSU rRNA". It matches the Rfam family "Bacterial small subunit ribosomal RNA", at positions 118 to 751 of the family's 1533-position model. The record is from RNAcentral. Lineage: Bacteria; Bacillati; Bacillota; Bacilli; Caryophanales; Staphylococcaceae.
UGGGUAACCUACCUAUAAGACUGGGAUAACUUCGGGAAACCGGAGCUAAUACCGGAUAACAUUUAGAACCGCAUGGUUCUAAAGUGAAAGAUGGUUUUGCUAUCACUUAUAGAUGGACCCGCGCCGUAUUAGCUAGUUGGUAAGGUAACGGCUUACCAAGGCGACGAUACGUAGCCGACCUGAGAGGGUGAUCGGCCACACUGGAACUGAGACACGGUCCAGACUCCUACGGGAGGCAGCAGUAGGGAAUCUUCCGCAAUGGGCGAAAGCCUGACGGAGCAACGCCGCGUGAGUGAUGAAGGGUUUCGGCUCGUAAAACUCUGUUAUUAGGGAAGAACAAAUGUGUAAGUAACUGUGCACAUCUUGACGGUACCUAAUCAGAAAGCCACGGCUAACUACGUGCCAGCAGCCGCGGUAAUACGUAGGUGGCAAGCGUUAUCCGGAAUUAUUGGGCGUAAAGCGCGCGUAGGCGGUUUCUUAAGUCUGAUGUGAAAGCCCACGGCUCAACCGUGGAGGGUCAUUGGAAACUGGGAAACUUGAGUGCAGAAGAGGAAAGUGGAAUUCCAUGUGUAGCGGUGAAAUGCGCAGAGAUAUGGAGGAACACCAGUGGCGAAGGCGACUUUCUGGUCUGUAACUGACGCUGAUG